Molecule: long non-coding RNA, 301 nt
Organism: Neltuma alba
Lineage: Eukaryota; Viridiplantae; Streptophyta; Magnoliopsida; Fabales; Fabaceae
Exons: 3
Source: RefSeq, a predicted model, not a curated record
UAGAAAUCGUCUCUAGAAAUCCAUUGGACUUGGAUUCAAGACCCCACGGAGGCCAUUGAAGGCACCUAUAAAUAUUGAUAAGGAGUGCCCCUUCACUGGUACGGUUUAUAUCCGAGGUCGUAUCUUAGCUUGAACUUGUCACAUUGCUAAGAUGACAAGGACUAUUAUCAUUCGGCGGAAUUAUCUUCAUUUUGUCAAGAAGCAUUAUAGAUAUGAGAAGAGGCAUUCAAAUCUUGCUGCUCGUACAUCUCCUUGCUUUCGUGUGAAGGAAGCGGAUCAUGUUAUUAUUGAUCAAUGCAGG